GAUGAACGCUGGCGGCGUGCCUAAUACAUGCAAGUCGAGCGAACGGACGAGAAGCUUGCUUCUCUGAUGUUAGCGGCGGACGGGUGAGUAACACGUGGAUAACCUACCUAUAAGACUGGGAUAACUUCGGGAAACCGUAGCUAAUACCGGAUAAUAUUUUGAACCGCAUGGUUCAAAAGUGAAAGACGGUCUUGCUGUCACUUAUAGAUGGAUCCGCGCUGCAUUAGCUAGUUGGUGAGGUAACGGCUUACCAAGGCAACGAUGCAUAGCCGACCUGAGAGGGUGAUCGGCCACACUGGAACUGAGACACGGUCCAGACUCCUACGGGAGGCAGCAGUAGGGAAUCUUCCGCAAUGGGCGAAAGCCUGACGGAGCAACGCCGCGUGAGUGAUGAAGGUCUUCGGAUCGUAAAACUCUGUUAUUAGGGAAGAACAUAUGUGUAAGUAACUGUGCACAUCUUGACGGUACCUAAUCAGAAAGCCACGGCUAACUACGUG
RNAcentral lists this ribosomal RNA (497 nucleotides) under uncultured bacterium. RNAcentral's name for it is "partial 16S ribosomal RNA". It matches the Rfam family "Bacterial small subunit ribosomal RNA", at positions 28 to 507 of the family's 1533-position model. The record is from RNAcentral.